GCGCCCGUAGCUCAACCGGAGAGAGCACGCGCCUUCUAAGCGCGGGGUUGUGAGUUCGAGUCUCACCGGGCGCG
Molecule: transfer RNA, 74 nt
Filed under: bacterium
Lineage: Bacteria
Description: tRNA-Arg
Rfam family: tRNA
About the family: Transfer RNA (tRNA) molecules are approximately 80 nucleotides in length. Their secondary structure includes four short double-helical elements and three loops (D, anti-codon, and T loops).
Source: RNAcentral